RNAcentral lists this ribosomal RNA (286 nucleotides) under uncultured diatom. RNAcentral's name for it is "partial 18S ribosomal RNA". It matches the Rfam family "Eukaryotic small subunit ribosomal RNA", at positions 598 to 888 of the family's 1831-position model. The record is from RNAcentral. Lineage: Eukaryota; Bacillariophyta.
CGUAUAUUAAAGUUGUUGCAGUUAAAAAGCUCGUAGUUGGAUUUGUGGUGUAUUGUGGGUUCCGGGCACUUGUUGUCUGAGUAAUCUGCGGUUGCCAUCCUUGGGUGGAACCCGUGUGGCAUUAGGUUGUCGUGCAGGGGAUGCCCAUCGUUUACUGUGAAAAAAUUAGAGUGUUCAAAGCAGGCUUAUGCCGUUGAAUAUAUUAGCAUGGAAUAAUGAGAUAGGACUUUUUCGCUAUUUUGUUGGUUUGCGCGAAGAGGUAAUGAUUAAUAGGGACAGUUGGGGG